CGAGUCCGAGUCUCCACGGAGACGAAGUGGCGGUCAUCCAGCUUCCUAGAAAAGCUCUAACCACGUUAAUCUUUAGUUGCCUGUACCCGAAACCGACACAGGUAGGGGGGUAGAGAAUACCAAGGGGCGCGAGAUAACUCUCUCUAAGGAACUCGGCAAAAUGACCCCGUAACUUCGGGAGAAGGGGUACCACUGAGAAGUGGUCGCAGUGAAGAGGCCCAGGCGACUGUUUACCAAAACACAGGUCUCCGCCAAGUCGCAAGACGAAGUAUGGGGGCUGACGCCUGCCCAGUGCCGGAAGGUUAAGGAAGUGGGUUAGGGAUUCGUCCCGAAGCUGACGACUGAAGCCCCGGUGAACGGCGGCCGUAACUAUAACGGUCCUAAGGUAGCGAAAUUCCUUGUCGGGUAAGUUCCGACCCGCACGAAAGGCGUAACGAUCUGGGCGCUGUCUCGGAGAGAGGCUCGGCGAAAUAGAAUUGUCUGUGAAGAUGCGGACUACGUGCACCCGGACAGAAAGACCCUAUGAAGCUUUACUGUAGCUUGGAAUUGGGUUCGGGCUUGGUUUGCGCAGGAUAGGUGGGAGGCGAAGAAGAUUUGCUUGUGGGUGAAUCUGAGCCAACGGUGAGAUACCACUCUAACCAGGCUAGAAUUCUAACUUCAACCCGUCAACCGGGGGAAGGACAGUUUCAGGUGGGCAGUUUGACUGGGGCGGUCGCCUCCUAAAAGAUAACGGAGGCGCACAAAGGUUCCCUCAGGCUGGUUGGAAAUCAGCCAACGAGUGCAAAGGCAGAAGGGAGCUUGACUGCGAGACCUACAAGUCAAGCAGGGUGGAAACACGGUCUUAGUGAUCCGACGGCACCGAGUGGAAGGGCCGUCGCUCAACGGAUAAAAGUUACUCUAGGAUAACAGGCUGAUCUCCCCCAAGAGUUCACAUCGACGGGGAGGUUUGGCACCUCGAUGUCGGCUCAUCGCAACCUGGGGCGGAAGUACGUCCCAAGGGUUGGGCUGUUCGCCCAUUAAAGCGGUACGUGAGCUGGGUUCAGAACGUCGUGAGACAGUUCGGUCCAUAUCCGGUGUAGGCGCAAGAACAUUGAGAGGAGUCUUCCUUAGUACGAGAGGACCGGGAAGAACGCACCGCUGGUGUACCUGUUAUCGUGCCAACGGUAAACGCAGGGUAGCCAAGUGCGGAGUGGAUAACCGCUGAAAGCAUCUAAGUGGGAAGCCCACCUCAAGAUGAGUGUUCUCAUGGAGUAAUCCAGUAAGGUCACGGGAAGACGACCCGUUGAUAGGCGGUAGGUGGAAGUUCGGCAAUGGAUGAAGCCGAGCCGUACUAACAGACCGAGGGCUUGACC
Molecule: ribosomal RNA, 1352 nt
Filed under: metagenome
Description: bacterial LSU rRNA
Rfam family: Bacterial large subunit ribosomal RNA
Source: RNAcentral